Molecule: ribosomal RNA, 224 nt
Filed under: Clostridioides difficile
Lineage: Bacteria; Bacillati; Bacillota; Clostridia; Peptostreptococcales; Peptostreptococcaceae
Description: partial 23S ribosomal RNA
Rfam family: Bacterial large subunit ribosomal RNA
Source: RNAcentral
AUAAAGUUUUCUUUAUUGGGGUUGCGGACAUAUCAUAACGAAGAGGUAUCGUAAUUGAAGAGGUUUGGAAAGACCCACCACAGAAGGUAAUAGUCCUGUAUGUUAAACGAGAAGACUUCAGAUAUGAUCCAGAGUACCACGGGACACGUGAAACCCUGUGGGAAGCAGGAGGGACCACCCUCCAAGGCUAAAUACUACCUAGUGACCGAUAGCGUAUAGUACCG